GACGAACGCUGGCGGCGUGCCUAAUACAUGCAAGUAGAACGCUGAAGAGAGGAGCUUGCUCUUCUUGGAUGAGUUGCGAACGGGUGAGUAACGCGUAGGUAACCUACCUUGUAGCGGGGGAUAACUAUUGGAAACGAUAGCUAAUACCGCAUAACAAUAGGUGACACAUGUCAUUUAUUUGAAAGGGGCAAUUGCUCCACUACAAGAUGGACCUGCGUUGUAUUAGCUAGUAGGUGAGGUAACGGCUCACCUAGGCGACGAUACAUAGCCGACCUGAGAGGGUGAUCGGCCACACUGGGACUGAGACACGGCCCGGACUCCUACGGGAGGCAGCAGUAGGGAAUCUUCGGCAAUGGGGGCAACCCUGACCGAGCAACGCCGCGUGAGUGAAGAAGGUUUUCGGAUCGUAAAGCUCUGUUGUAAGUCAAGAACGAGUGUGAGAGUGGAAAGUUCACACUGUGACGGUAGCUUACCAGAAAGGGACGGCUAACUACGUGCCAGCAGCUGCGGUAAUACGUAGGUCCCGAGCGUUGUCCGGAUUUAUUGGGCGUAAAGCGAGCGCAGGCGGUUUGAUAAGUCUGAAGUUAAAGGCUGUGGCUCAACCACAGUUCGCUUUGGAAACUGUCAAACUUGAGUGCAGAAGGGGAGAGUGGAAUUCCAUGUGUAGCGGUGAAAUGCGUAGAUAUAUGGAGGAGCACCGGUGGCGAAAGCGGCUCUCUGGUCUGUAACUGACGCUGAGGCUCGAAAGCGUGGGGAGCGAACAGGAUUAGAUACCCUGGUAGUCCACGCCGUAAACGAUGAGUGCUAGGUGUUGGAUCCUUUCCGGGAUUCAGUGCCGCAGCUAACGCAUUAAGCACUCCGCCUGGGGAGUACGACCGCAAGGUUGAAACUCAAAGGAAUUGACGGGGGCCCGCACAAGCGGUGGAGCAUGUGGUUUAAUUCGAAGCAACGCGAAGAACCUUACCAGGUCUUGACAUCCCGAUGCUAUUUCUAGAGAUAGAAAGUUACUUCGAUACAUCGGUGACAGGUGGUGCAUGGUUGUCGUCAGCUCGUGUCGUGAGAUGUUGGGUUAAGUCCCGCAACGAGCGCAACCCCUAUUGUUAGUUGCCAUCAUUCAGUUGGGCACUCUAGCGAGACUGCCGGUAAUAAACCGGAGGAAGGUGGGGAUGACGUCAAAUCAUCAUGCCCCUUAUGACCUGGGCUACACACGUGCUACAAUGGUUGGUACAACGAGUUGCGAGUCGGUGACGGCAAGCUAAUCUCUUAAAGCCAAUCUCAGUUCGGAUUGUAGGCUGCAACUCGCCUACAUGAAGUCGGAAUCGCUAGUAAUCGCGGAUCAGCACGCCGCGGUGAAUACGUUCCCGGGCCU
This 1369-nucleotide ribosomal RNA is filed under the name uncultured bacterium. Its description in RNAcentral is "bacterial SSU rRNA". It matches the Rfam family "Bacterial small subunit ribosomal RNA", at positions 28 to 1381 of the family's 1533-position model. The record is from RNAcentral.